This 492-nucleotide ribosomal RNA is filed under the name uncultured bacterium. Its description in RNAcentral is "partial 16S ribosomal RNA". It matches the Rfam family "Bacterial small subunit ribosomal RNA", at positions 30 to 507 of the family's 1533-position model. The record is from RNAcentral.
AUUGAACGCUGGCGGUAGGCCUAACACAUGCAAGUCGAGCGGCAGCACAGUAAGAGCUUGCUCUUACGGGUGCCGAGUGGCGGACGGGUGCUGAAUACAUCGGAAUCUACUUUUUCGUGGGGGAUAACGUAGGGAAUCUUACGCUAAUACCGCAUACGACCUACGGGUGAAAGCAGGGGAUCUUCGGACCUUGCGCGAUUGAAUGACCCGAUGUCGGAUUAGCUAGUUGGCGGGGUAAAGGCCCACCAAGGCGACGAUCCGUAGCUGGUCUGAGAGGAUGAUCAGCCACACUGGAACUGAGACACGGUCCAGACUCCUACGGGAGGCAGCAGUGGGGAAUAUUGGACAAUGGGCGCAAGCCUGAUCCAGCCAUACCGCGUGGGUGAAGAAGGCCUUCGGGUUGUAAAGCCCUUUUGUUGGGAAAGAAAAGCAGCAGGUUAAUACCCCGCUGUUCUGACGGUACCCAAAGAAUAAGCACCGGCUAACUUCGUG